UUAUUUAAUGGCCGCGGUAUCCUGACCGUGCAAAGGUAGCAUAAUCAUUAGUCUAAUAAUUGUAGACUUGUAUGAAUGGUUGGACGAAAUAUUAACUGUCUCAUAUUUAUUAGUAUAAUUUAAAUUUUUGGUUAAAAUGCUUAAAUUAUUUUAUUGGACGAGAAGACCCUAUAGAUCUUUAUUUUUAUUUAUUAUUUUUAUUUUGGUUUAAUUCGUUUAUUAUUUUAAAUUAAUUUUUAGUUGGGGUGACUUUGAGAUAUAAUUAACUCUUUUUUUUAUUAUUCAUUUGUUUUUGUUUUAUUUUUUGACCUUUUAUUAUUGAUUUAAGAUAUAGAUACCUUAGGGAUAACAGCGUUAUUCUUUUUGAGAGUUCAUAUCGACAAAAGAGAUUGCGACCUCGAUGUUGGAUUAAGAUUACUUAUAUAUGUAGUAGUAUAUAUAUGUAGGUCUGUUCGACCUUUAAAAUCUUACAUGAUCUGAGUU
RNAcentral lists this ribosomal RNA (483 nucleotides) under Lamponius cf. portoricensis SB0366. RNAcentral's name for it is "partial large subunit ribosomal RNA". The stretch from base 345 to 483 matches the Rfam family "Bacterial large subunit ribosomal RNA", at positions 2473 to 2611 of the family's 2925-position model. Lineage: Eukaryota; Metazoa; Arthropoda; Insecta; Phasmatodea; Pseudophasmatidae. The record is from RNAcentral.